GAUGAAGAACGUAGCGAAAUGCGAUAAGUAGUGUGAAUUGCAGAAUUCAGUGAAUCAUCGAAUCUUUGAACGCACAUUGCGCCCUUUGGUAUUCCAAAGGGCAUGCCUGUUCGAGCGUCAUUUGUACCCUCAAGCUUUGCUUGGUGUUGAGCGUCUUGUCUCUAGCUUUGCUGGAGACUCGCCUAAAAGUAAUUGGCAGCCGGCCUACUGGUUUCGGAGCGCAGCACAAGUCGCACUCUCUAUCAGCAAAGGUCUAGCAUCCAUUAAGCCUUUUUUUUCAACUUUUGACCUCGGAUCAGGUAGGGAUACCCGCUGAACUUAAGCAUAUCAAUAAGCGGAGGA
This 342-nucleotide unclassified non-coding RNA is filed under the name soil metagenome. RNAcentral describes it as "partial contains 5.8S ribosomal RNA, internal transcribed spacer 2, and large subunit ribosomal RNA". The stretch from base 1 to 120 matches the Rfam family "5.8S ribosomal RNA", at positions 35 to 154 of the family's 154-position model. The record is from RNAcentral.